Long non-coding RNA from Chinchilla lanigera (long-tailed chinchilla), 424 nucleotides. RefSeq lists it as uncharacterized. The transcript has 3 exons. NCBI's taxonomy places the organism in Eukaryota, Metazoa, Chordata, Mammalia, Rodentia, Chinchillidae. The record is from RefSeq and is a predicted model, not a curated record.
CCUGGAGAAUGCUGUACACUACCCGGGCACUGUUGCCAUAGGUCGGGUCAUCAGCAUCUGUGGCUGUCACCUGGAUAACAGAGAUGUGAUCUGAAGAAUGUAGGAAAAAAGCAUUCAUUGGAACCUUCGUGGUGUUGACUGUGGGACUAUCACGUCAGAGGGUUUCUACUUCAUACCUGUGAGGAAAGAGGGCUGCACAGAGAAGUCAAGAAGACUGAACAGAACUUUCUUGGGUUUCUCCACUGAGUUUGAUGCCAGUGAAAUGAAAUCUCCAUAAAAACUCAAAAGGACAAACUCAUCUAGCAUCCCAAUAGCCGGACAUGUGGAGACUCUCGGAGGAUGACAUGUACGGAGAAGGCCUGGAAGCUUCACACACCUUCUUGUCUUGUACAUCUGUUCAUCUGUAUGUAAUAUCCUUUAUAAU